GAUUGCCCAACCCACCAGCUCUUGGGCCACUGUGGACCCCAAUCCCAAUCAACAUUUGUUAGAUUUUUAAAAAGGUUGUGUCCUCAAAUGUGAUGAGUAGAAAUGGCUGUAAUUAACUUUUAUUUUUUAAAAUGAUUGAUUGAUUGAUUGAUUUAAGAGAGAGGGAGAGCACAGAGGGUGAAGAAGAAGCAGACUCCUAGCAGAGAGCCCAAAGUGGGGCUUGAUCCCAGGACCCUGAGAUCAUGACCUGAGCUGAAGGCAGAAGUGUAACCGACUGAGCUACCCAGGUGCCCCUGUGAAUAACUUUGAGAAGUGUCAAGCUAUUGCUAUAGGAAAAGAGUAUACAACAUGAGUCAGCGAGACUUUCACUCCAUAUCUUCAUAGUCCUCCUCAGGGACUCAGGGAACAUGCCUGAAAGUACAGCUUGCAUGGAGUCAGGACCUGGGUCCCGAUCUAUGUCUAUGGAACGACCGGAUGAAAAAUACCGUGCUAAGCCAUGAGAAAUAGCUGAAGUCAUACAUACCCAAUUCUGCAGCGACACAGAGGAGUUUGGAGCGCCUGGAAAUACUUCCACCCCAGGAAUUUCCAGGACAUCUGGUAAGUCAACAACAUUAUCACAAACAUUAUGGCCAACAAUGUGAGUUCUUGCAACAAUGUAUUCAUUUUCCAAAU
RNAcentral lists this long non-coding RNA (672 nucleotides) under Vulpes vulpes (red fox). RNAcentral's name for it is "lncRNA (ENSVVUG00000028784.1)". Lineage: Eukaryota; Metazoa; Chordata; Mammalia; Carnivora; Canidae. The record is from RNAcentral.